Molecule: ribosomal RNA, 478 nt
Filed under: uncultured bacterium
Lineage: Bacteria
Description: partial 16S ribosomal RNA
Rfam family: Bacterial small subunit ribosomal RNA
Source: RNAcentral
GACGAACGCUGGCGGCGUGCUUAACACAUGCAAGUCGAACGGUAAGGCCCUUCGGGGUACACGAGUGGCGAACGGGUGAGUAACACGUGGGUGAUCUGCCCUGCACUUCGGGAUAAGUCUGGGAAACUGGGGCUAAUACCGGAUAGGACCACUGCCUGCAUGGGUGGUAGUGGAAAGCUUUUGCGGUGUGGGAUGGGCCCGCGGCCUAUGAGCUUGUUGGUGGGGUGAUGGCCUACCAAGGGGACGACGGGUAGCCGGCCUGAGAGGGUGACCGGCCACACGGGGACUGAGAUACGGCCCAGACUCCUACGGGAGGCAGCAGUGGGGAAUAUUGCACAAUGGGCGCAAGCCUGGUGCAGCGACGCCGCGUGAGGGAUGACGGCCUUCGGGUUGUAAACCUCUUUCAGCACCGACGAAGCGCAAGUGACGGUAGGUGCAGAAGAAGGACCGGCCAACUACGUGCCAGCCGCCGCCGUAA